This 462-nucleotide ribosomal RNA is filed under the name uncultured bacterium. RNAcentral's name for it is "partial 16S ribosomal RNA". It matches the Rfam family "Bacterial small subunit ribosomal RNA", at positions 338 to 795 of the family's 1533-position model. The record is from RNAcentral.
CCUACGGGUGGCAGCAGUGAGGAAUAUUGGUCAAUGGGCGCGAGCCUGAACCAGCCAAGUAGCGUGAAGGAUGACUGCCCUACGGGUUGUAAACUUCUUUUAUAAAGGAAUAAAGUGAGGCACGUGUGCCUUUUUGUAUGUACUUUAUGAAUAAGGAUCGGCUAACUCCGUGCCAGCAGCCGCGGUAAUACGGAGGAUCCGAGCGUUAUCCGGAGUGACUGGGUGUAAAGAGUUGCGUAGGUGGCAUAAUCAGUAGCUAGUGAAAUCUGGUGGCUCAACCAUUCAGACUAUUAUCUAAACUGUUAAACGCGAGAGCGUUAGGGGUAAGUGGAAUUUCUAGUGUAGGGGUGAAAUGCGGAGAUAUUAGAAGGAACACCAAUGGCGUAGGCAGGUUACUGGGACGGUUCUGACACUAAGGCACGAAAGCGUAGGGAGCAAACGGGAUUAGAUACCCGAGUAGUC